Zea mays is the source of this 73-nucleotide non-coding RNA. The record is from Rfam. NCBI's taxonomy places the organism in Eukaryota, Viridiplantae, Streptophyta, Magnoliopsida, Poales, Poaceae.
AUUUGUCUAGCUUAAUUGGUAAAAUACAAGACUCUUAACCUUGUGGUCGCGGGUUCGAGCCCCAUGGUGGGUG